AAUAAAAAUUGGCUAGUAUAUAAAUUGAAAAUACCAAAAUGCUUAUACUUUGUAACCCUCGCUAUCGAAAAAUCCGGAAGAGAGAACGGCAAUGGCUUUGAACAACGGCUUAUGGUCGUGUGCUUCCAAGCUCAUCAGCUCAUCUGAAUCAAUUUUCUCCAAGACUGGAGUCUUUUUUAGCUUGCUUAGAUGUGAGAUUUUGGAGUACAUCUAGUCAUAGAGAGAAUUUUCAAAUUUGUAACUAAAGACAAGAUUACAUAUUGGAAUUCCAUGGUUCUGAAUGCGACGAGGAUUUAUAUA
Molecule: long non-coding RNA, 300 nt
Organism: Nicotiana tabacum (common tobacco)
Lineage: Eukaryota; Viridiplantae; Streptophyta; Magnoliopsida; Solanales; Solanaceae
Source: RefSeq, a predicted model, not a curated record